CCGUAAUGGCUAUUAAAAUUAUAAAUUUUGUGGCAUUUAAUCGUUCAAUUAAUGAUGUCAAAAAAAAUAUAAAAUUUGAUAUUAGAUAGUUUAAAUAGGAUAGAUCAUAUUCAAUGAUGGUAAUCGUCAAUUCAAAAAUUUUAUCAUCGAAAAUAAAUCUUAGUAAACCGAGCUGUUUACUACUGAUAGUAACUCUCUAUAUAUAAAGGGUCUAAAGGUCGGAAAUAUAUGCUUUUACAAGCCUAGUAAUCUGACACUAUAUUGCACAAUGUAAAAUCAAUUCAGGUUCAUGUUUCGAUCGGGUACAGAUAAAGUUCAUAUCAGAGUUCAAAUCUGUCAAAUUUUUAUUUUUUAUAUCUGUAUUCGAAUUAAAUCCGUUUAGCAUCAGGAUAAACCGGCUCCCUUCGGAUUUGGAUUCGGAUAAAAUUUUGAACAUAUGUACCCAUUGACAUCCAAAGCAAAACACAAUAUUAA
RNAcentral lists this long non-coding RNA (474 nucleotides) under Ananas comosus (pineapple). Its description in RNAcentral is "long non-coding RNA (ACOM_LNC019330)". Lineage: Eukaryota; Viridiplantae; Streptophyta; Magnoliopsida; Poales; Bromeliaceae. The record is from RNAcentral.